CGUAGGUGGCAAGCGUUAUCCGGAUUUACUGGGUGUAAAGGGCGCGUAGGCGGGAGAACAAGUCAGAUGUGAAAUGUGGGGGCUUAACCCUCAAGCUGCAUUUGAAACUGUACUUCUUGAGUAUCGGAGAGGCAGGCGGAAUUCCUAGUGUAGCGGUGAAAUGCGUAGAUAUUAGGAGGAACACCAGUGGCGAAGGCGGCCUGCUGGACGACAACUGACGCUGAGGCGCGAAAGCGUGGGGAGCAAACAGGAUUAGAUACCCUGGUAGUCCACGCUGUAAACGAUGAAUACUAGGUGUGGGGGGACUAACCCCUCCGUGCCGCAGUUAACACAAUAAGUAUUCCACCUGGGAGUACGGCCGCAAGGUU
RNAcentral lists this ribosomal RNA (368 nucleotides) under uncultured organism. RNAcentral describes it as "bacterial SSU rRNA". It matches the Rfam family "Bacterial small subunit ribosomal RNA", at positions 526 to 895 of the family's 1533-position model. The record is from RNAcentral.